This is a long non-coding RNA of Scophthalmus maximus (turbot), 702 nucleotides long. RefSeq lists it as uncharacterized. The transcript is spliced from 4 exons. The record is from RefSeq and is a predicted model, not a curated record. Lineage: Eukaryota; Metazoa; Chordata; Actinopteri; Pleuronectiformes; Scophthalmidae.
UCAGAGGUGUUCUAGUACCAGGAUCAGAGGUGUUCUAGUACCAGGAUCAGAUAUGUUCAAGUACCAGGAUCAGAGGUGUUCUGGUACCAGGAUCAGAGGUGUUCUAGUACCAGGAUCAGAGGUGUUCCGGUACCAGGACCAGAGAAGUUAAGAUACCAGGAUCAGAGAUUUUCUAGUACCAGGAUCAGAGAUUUUCUAGUACCAGGAUCAGAGAUUUUCUAGUUCUAGGAUCAGAGGCAACAGAAACAAUGAAACCAGCCCAUCUGAUAUCAGCAGUAAUCCAUCAGGCCCAGUGGCAGCUGGCUGAGCAGACGUCCCUUCCCACAACUCCUGCUUGAUCCUGUGACGUUCCAAGGCCAGCUGGGAUGUUUAAUCCCUCCAGCGAGUUCUGGCUGGAUCCCGGGGUCGGCUCACAGCGGAGCGUUCCUGGUAAACCUCUGAAGGAAGAACAACAGGUGGAAAUACUGAAGUUUUGAAGGUGUCUCAGUGUUCGGACGUCAGCGGGACGAAGAAACUCCACUAACAUCAAAUCCCCUGGACUGACGUGACGUCCUGAUUUCACCUGAUCUCUGAAGUCUAGGAGCUGCAGCGUCAGUGGGGCGGCUAAAAAUAACUGCAGACGUCUGAUUGGCGGAAAGCACGGAGCUCCUUCUGCAUACGUAAUGAGGCGGAGGAGGCAGAGGGAUGAAUGAAAAACCAAAC